UGGCUUAGAGGUUAAAGUGUCUGCCUGGAAUGCGGGAGACUCAGGUUCGAUCCCUGG
Molecule: transfer RNA, 57 nt
Filed under: Ovis aries (sheep)
Lineage: Eukaryota; Metazoa; Chordata; Mammalia; Artiodactyla; Bovidae
Rfam family: tRNA
About the family: Transfer RNA (tRNA) molecules are approximately 80 nucleotides in length. Their secondary structure includes four short double-helical elements and three loops (D, anti-codon, and T loops).
Source: Rfam by way of RNAcentral